GUGACUCUUUUACUUUGAUGUUUCCUGAACGUUUCUGAGUCUGAGUUGCAGCUGUGUUUACUUCUGGGGGGUGAUAAAUUGUCUUGUGUUAUGACUGUAGUCAUAAAAAUCACUAUUUUACCUGAAAACUGAUGUUAGGAGACAUAAAACACGUAAGAAGUCAUGCUGGCUCACUGUGCUGCAUGAUCUGGGAGAAAGGGGUUUUUGUGUGUUGCUCAAAUGAACCUCCGGAGCAGGAAUCCAAAAGAACAAGUUGAAACACAGAACGGUUUCCACACUUUACAUUCCUGCACAGACAGACUCCCACCGACGUCAUGGCAACCUGCAGAAAGAGCAGCAGAUUCACCACAAACCCGCAUCAAACCAGGAGACAGUAAACGCAUCACAUCCCAACGUUUGUUUUGGAACUGCAGCACUUUAAAUCCUCACAGACACGUGUGCAUUCCCGCUCUUACUUUGAAAGGAUCAGAGGUUUUUCCCAUACCUCUAUAUCGCUGUUUGAAAGACAAACAGGAUCUGUGACUAAUGUUUACCUCCCUGUGUCACACGUGGGAGGAUUGAAACUGACGAUCCCAGUGAAGGAAAAGCUGAAACUGCUGCAUGACGUAGGGGACUACAAAGCUACCCAGUACCACUUCAAUGAUUUAAAACUGCAUCACUGCUGAAAAAUCAUAGACAAAUACUGAUAAAGACUGUGUUGAAAAUCCUAGUCUGGCUGUGGUUUCCUAUCAGGCUGACUGUAUGGACAUGGCUUUAAAGCUUCUUCAGUCCUGGACCUAUGGACUGGGUCUAUCUAUUCUACAUCAUGGCUCCACAUGGAAAACAACUGAACAGACAAAGUGAAAAAAAAUGCUCGGAAUUAGUCCAAAAUUAUGUUAGAUGUGAUCAAAAAGGCUCAAAUGGAGUCCAAAAUGACUCUGAAAGUUAAAAGAUUUACUCAAGAUUUGUCCAAAAUAAUUCAAAACUCGUCAAAGUCACUGAAACGUCUUCCAAGACGAGUAUAAAUUUCCAAAGUGAGUCAAAAUUUGCCCAAGAUGAUGCAACAUAGAAAAGAAUUGAACAGAGGAAGUGAAAAAUCUGACUGUGAAUCUCAACAAAGAUAGAAAAGGAUCCAACUAAAAAUCAGUGAAGCACAGAGUCAGCAGGAAUCAGGAGGUCUAGAAGGAGUCAUAGUUCCACUAAUCAGGAGGUCUAGAAGGAGUCAUAGUUCCACUAAUCAGGAGGUCUAGAAGGAGUCAUAGUUCCACUAAUCAGGAGGUCUAGAAGGAGUCAUAGUUCCACUAAUCAGGAGGUCUAGAAGGAGUCAUAGUUCCACUAAUCAGGAGGUCUAGAAGGAGUCAUAGUUCCACUAAUCAGAGCUCCUAAAAUGACUCCACAGACAGUGAACUACUUUCUCCAUCCAGCUGUAAAAACAGACAUCAGCUGCUUCAGACUUGGUUCAGGGGUUCUCCAUGGAAACCAGAGUUAGUGUGAAGCUCAGACAGUGUGAAGAAACCUUCAGAACAUCAACCUCUAUGGACGGAGGACCAGAACUAAACCUGGCUGCUGCUCAGAACUAAACUUCCAGAUGAAAGUUUGCUGAAGAACAUGAGAAGAAGCCUGAUGGAUGCUGGAGAACAUUCUUUGGUCUGAUGAAGAUGGGUGGACUCUGGUUUCCUCCGUGCUCAGGAGGACUAAAGGAGGACAUACAAAGGACUGGAAGAACCAAAGAA
This is a long non-coding RNA of Acanthochromis polyacanthus (spiny chromis), 1712 nucleotides long. RefSeq lists it as uncharacterized. The record is from RefSeq and is a predicted model, not a curated record. The transcript has 3 exons. NCBI's taxonomy places the organism in Eukaryota, Metazoa, Chordata, Actinopteri, Pomacentridae.